GACGAACGCUGGCGGCAUGCCUAAUACAUGCAAGUCGAGCGAACAGAUGAAGUGCUUGCACUUCUGACGUUAGCGGCGAACGGGUGAGUAACACGUAAGGAAUCUACCUAUAAGCGGGGGAUAACAUUCGGAAACGGGUGCUAAUACCGCAUAAUAUCUUCUUCCGCAUGGAAGAAGAUUGAAAGACGGCUCUGCUGUCACUUAUAGAUGACCUUGCGGUGCAUUAGUUAGUUGGUGGGGUAAUGGCCUACCAAGACGAUGAUGCAUAGCCGACCUGUGAGGGUGAUGGGCCACAUUGGGACGGAGAAACGGCCCAAACUCCUACGGGAGGCGGCAGUAGGGAAUCUUCCGCAAUGGGCGAAAGCCUGACGGGGCAAUGCCGCGUGAGUGAAGAAGGCCUUCGGGUCGUAAAACUCUGUUAUAAGAGAAGAACAAAUUGUAGAGUAACUGCUACAGUCUUGACGGUAUCUUAUCAGAAAGCCACGGCUAACUACGUGCCAGCCGCCGCCGUAA
Molecule: ribosomal RNA, 513 nt
Filed under: uncultured bacterium
Lineage: Bacteria
Description: partial 16S ribosomal RNA
Rfam family: Bacterial small subunit ribosomal RNA
Source: RNAcentral